This is a long non-coding RNA of Oncorhynchus keta (chum salmon), 1335 nucleotides long. RefSeq lists it as uncharacterized. The record is from RefSeq and is a predicted model, not a curated record. NCBI's taxonomy places the organism in Eukaryota, Metazoa, Chordata, Actinopteri, Salmoniformes, Salmonidae. The transcript is spliced from 6 exons.
UGAGGGGUUUAUCUACACUGAGGUUCCCUCUCCACUGUGACUGAGACCUCUGAGGGGUUUAUCUACACUGAGGUUCCCUCUCCACUGUGACUGAGACCUCUGAGGGGUUUAUCUACACUGAGGUUCCCUCUCCACUGUGACUGAGACCUCUGAGGGGUUUAUCUACACUGAGGUUCCCUCUCCACUGUGACUGAGACCUCUGAGGGGUUUAUCUACACUGAGGUUCCCUCUCCACUGUGACUGAGACCUCUGAGGGGUUUAUCUACACUGAGGUUCCCUCUCCACUGUGACUGAGACCUCUGAGGGGUUUAUCUACACUGAGGUUCCCUCUCCACUGUGACUGAGACCUCUGAGGGGUUUAUCUACACUGAGGUUCCCUCUCCACUGUGACUGAGACCUCUGAGGGGUUUAUCUACACUGAGGUUCCCUCUCCACUGUGACUGAGACCCCAGAGGGGUUUAUCUACACUGAGGUUCCCUCUCCACUGUGACUGAGACCUCUGAGGGGUUUAUCUACACUGAGGUUCCCUCUCCACUGUGACUGAGACCCCAGAGGGGUUUAUCUACACUGAGGUUCCCUCUCCACUGUGACUGAGACCUCUGAGGGGUUUAUCUACACUGAGGUUCCCUCUCCACUGUGACUGAGACCUCUGAGGGGUUUAUCUACACUGAGGUUCCCUCUCCACUGUGACUGAGACCUCUGAGGGGUUUAUCUACACUGAGGUUCCCUCUCCACUGUGACUGAGACCCCAGAGGGGUUUAUCUACACUGAGGUUCCCUCUCCACUGUGACUGAGACCCCAGAGGGGUUUAUCUACACUGAGGUUCCCUCUCCACUGUGACUGAGACCUCUGAGGGGUUUAUCUACACUGAGGUUCCCUCUCCACUGUGACUGAGACCCCAGAGGGGUUUAUCUACACUGAGGUUCCCUCUCCACUGUGACUGAGACCCCAGAGGGGUUUAUCUACACUGAGGUUCCCUCUCCACUGUGACUGAGACCUCUGAGGGGUUUAUCUACACUGAGGUUCCCUCUCCACUGUGACUGAGACCUCUGAGGGGUUUAUCUACACUGAGGUUCCCUCUCCACUGUGACUGAGACCUCUGAGGGGUUUAUCUACACUGAGGUUCCCUCUCCACUGUGACUGAGACCUCUGAGGGGUUUAUCUACACUGAGGUUCCCUCUCCACUGUGACUGAGACCUCUGAGGGGUUUAUCUACACUGAGGUUCCCUCUCCACUGUGACUGAGACCUCUGAGGGGUUUAUCUACACUGAGGUUCCCUCUCCACUGUGACUGAGACCUCUGAGGGGUUUAUCUACACUGAGGUUCCCUCUCCAC